AGAGUUUGAUCCUGGCUCAGAACGUACGCUGGCGGCACGCCUAACACAUGCAAGUCGAACGAAGUAGCAAUACUUAGUGGCAGACGGGUGAGUAACAUGUAGGUAUCUGCCCUUUGGCCUGGAAUAACACGAGGAAACUUGUGCUAAUACCGGAUAAGUCUUUACGGAGAAAGCUUUAUGCACCAUUGGAUGAGCCUGCACUUGAUUAGUUUGUUGGUAGGGUAAUGGCCUACCAAGACUGUGAUCAAUAGCUGAUUUGAGAGGAUGAUCAGCCACAUUGGGACUGAGACACGGCCCAAACUCCUACGGGAGGCAGCAGUGGGGAAUCUUGCACAAUGGAGGAAACUCUGAUGCAGCGAUGCCGCGUGAGUGAAGAAGGCCCUUGGGUUGUAAAGCUCUUUCGUCGGGGAAGAAAAUGACUGUACCCGAAUAAGAAGGUCCGGCUAACUUCGUGCCAGCAGCCGCGGUAAUACGAAGGGACCUAGCGUAGUUCGGAAUUACUGGGCUUAAAGAGUUCGUAGGUGGUUGAAAAAGUUAGUGGUGAAAUCCCAGAGCUUAACUCUGGAACUGCCAUUAAAACUUUUCAGCUAGAGUAUGAUAGAGGAAAGCAGAAUUUCUAGUGUAGAGGUGAAAUUCGUAGAUAUUAGAAAGAAUACCAAUUGCGAAGGCAGCUUUCUGGAUCAUUACUGACACUGAGGAACGAAAGCAUGGGUAGCGAAGAGGAUUAGAUACCCUCGUAGUCCAUGCCGUAAACGAUGUGUGUUAGACGUUGGAAAUUUAUUUUCAGUGUCGCAGGGAAACCGAUAAACACACCGCCUGGGGAGUACGACCGCAAGGUUAAAACUCAAAUGAAUUGACGGGGACCCGCACAAGUAGUGGAGCAUGUGGUUUAAUUCGAAGAUACGCGCAGAACCUUACCAACACUUGACAUGUUCGUCGCGACUCUAAGAGAUUAGAGUUUUCGGUUCGGCCGGACGAAACACAGGUGCUGCAUGGCUGUCGUCAGCUCGUGUCGUGAGAUGUUGGGUUAAGUCCCGCAACGAGCGCAACCCUCACUUUUAGUUGCCAUCAUUAAGUUGGGCACUCUGAAAGAACUGCCAGUGAUAAGCUGGAGGAAGGUGGGGAUGACGUCAAGUCCUCAUGGCCCUUACGUGUUGGGCUACACACGUGCUACAAUGGUAUCUACAACAGGAAGCAAGACUGCGAAGUUAAGCAAAUCCCUAAAAGAUACCUCAGUUCGGAUUGCACUCUGCAACUCGAGUGCAUGAAGCUGGAAUUACUAGUAAUCGUGGAUCAGCGUGCCACGGUGAAUGCGUUCCCGGGUCUUGUACACACCGCCCGUCACACCAUGGGAGUUGGUUCUACCUUAAGGCAAGGUUUCAAACCCUUGACCACGGUAUAGUCAGCGACUGGGGUGAAGUCGUAACAAGGUAACC
Molecule: ribosomal RNA, 1436 nt
Filed under: uncultured Pelagibacterales bacterium
Lineage: Bacteria; Pseudomonadati; Pseudomonadota; Alphaproteobacteria; Candidatus Pelagibacterales
Description: bacterial SSU rRNA
Rfam family: Bacterial small subunit ribosomal RNA
Source: RNAcentral